GCCAGGUACAGUAUUAAGACUAUCUACCAAAAGUUAUCUCUAUUGACAUUAUGCUUACAAUCCAGGUUGAUACGGCUGAUGCUUGCAGAACAUCCAUGUGUUCAAGCUUAGAUACGACUGCUAAACUGACCAAGUCCACACGUGGACACCUAAAGCUGUGAACCCUAAUACUUUUCCAGAGAUGACAGACAUGUGACCAGAAGCUUGAGAGAGGACUCAGAUACAGUGAAGAUUCUGCAUAAGCAGUUGUAAGAGAUCCUCCUUACUUUUAUCAAAUGAUAUACACUAACUGUAACAUGACCACAGUUGGGAAUCUU
RNAcentral lists this long non-coding RNA (317 nucleotides) under Gallus gallus (chicken). RNAcentral describes it as "long non-coding RNA NONGGAT005835". Lineage: Eukaryota; Metazoa; Chordata; Aves; Galliformes; Phasianidae. The record is from RNAcentral.